UUCCCCUUCGGGGGACAAAGUGACAGGUGGUGCAUGGUUGUCGUCAGCUCGUGUCGUGAGAUGUUGGGUUAAGUCCCGCAACGAGCGCAACCCUUAAGCUUAGUUGCCAUCAUUAAGUUGGGCACUCUAAGUUGACUGCCGGUGACAAACCGGAGGAAGGUGGGGAUGACGUCAAAUCAUCAUGCCCCUUAUGAUUUGGGCUACACACGUGCUACAAUGGACAAUACAAAGGGCAGCGAAACCGUGAGGUCAAGCAAAUCCCAUAAAGUUGUUCUCAGUUCGGAUUGUAGUCUGCAACUCGACUACAUGAAGCUGGAAUCGCUAGUAAUCGUAGAUCAGCAUGCUACGGUGAAUACGUUCCCGGGUCUUGUACACACCGCCCGUCACACCACGAGAGUUUGUAACACCCGAAGCCGGAGGAGUAACCUUUUAGGAGCUAGCCGUCGAAGGUGGGACAAAUGAUUGGGGUGAAGUCGUAACAAGGUAGCCGUAUCGGAAGGUGCGGCUGGAUCACCUCCUUU
This 521-nucleotide ribosomal RNA is filed under the name Staphylococcus aureus. RNAcentral describes it as "bacterial SSU rRNA". It matches the Rfam family "Bacterial small subunit ribosomal RNA", at positions 1013 to 1533 of the family's 1533-position model. The record is from RNAcentral. Lineage: Bacteria; Bacillati; Bacillota; Bacilli; Caryophanales; Staphylococcaceae.